Molecule: ribosomal RNA, 302 nt
Filed under: uncultured bacterium
Lineage: Bacteria
Description: bacterial SSU rRNA
Rfam family: Bacterial small subunit ribosomal RNA
Source: RNAcentral
AACGAACGCUGGUGGCAUGCCUAAUACAUGCAAGUCGAACGAGAAAGCUCUUCGGAGUGAGUAGAGUGGCGCACGGGUGAGUAACGCGUAGGUGACCUACCCUUUAGCUGGGGAUAACUAAGAGAAAUUUUAGCUAAUACCGAAUAAGCUCGAAAGAGUAAAGAUGGGGAUCUUCGGACCUAUCACUUUAGGAGGGGCCUGCGUAUCAUUAGCUUGUUGGUGGGGUAAUGGCCUACCAAGGCGACGAUGAUUAACUGGUCUGAGAGGAUGAUCAGUCACACUGGAACUGAGACACGGUCCAG